ACGUAGGUGGCGAGCGUUGUCCGGAAUUAUUGGGCGUAAAGAGCAUGUAGGCGGUUUUAUAAGUCUGGAGUGAAAAUGCGGGGCUCAACCCCGUAUGGCUCUGGAUACUGGAAGACUUGAGUGCAGGAGAGGAAAGGGGAAUUCCCAGUGUAGCGGUGAAAUGCGUAGAUAUUGGGAGGAACACCAGUGGCGAAGGCGCCUUUCUGGACUGUGUCUGACGCUGAGAUGCGAAAGCCAGGGUAGCGAACGG
This 250-nucleotide ribosomal RNA is filed under the name uncultured bacterium. RNAcentral's name for it is "partial 16S ribosomal RNA". It matches the Rfam family "Bacterial small subunit ribosomal RNA", at positions 525 to 775 of the family's 1533-position model. The record is from RNAcentral.